RNAcentral lists this ribosomal RNA (218 nucleotides) under uncultured bacterium. Its description in RNAcentral is "partial 16S ribosomal RNA". It matches the Rfam family "Bacterial small subunit ribosomal RNA", at positions 328 to 539 of the family's 1533-position model. The record is from RNAcentral.
ACGCUCGACACCUACGGGAGGCAGCAGUGAGGAAUAUUGGUCAAUGGGCGCAGGCCUGAACCAGCCAAGUAGCGUGAAGGAUGACUGCCCUAUGGGUUGUAAACUUCUUUUAUAUGGGAAUAAAGUUUUCCACGUGUGGAAUUUUGUAUGUACCAUAUGAAUAAGGAUCGGCUAACUCCGUGCCAUCAGCCGCGGUAAUCUGAGCGGGCUGGCAAGGC